RNAcentral lists this ribosomal RNA (255 nucleotides) under uncultured bacterium. RNAcentral's name for it is "partial 16S ribosomal RNA". It matches the Rfam family "Bacterial small subunit ribosomal RNA", at positions 524 to 776 of the family's 1533-position model. The record is from RNAcentral.
UACGGGGGGAGCAAGCGUUGUUCGGAUUUACUGGGCGUAAAGGGCGCGGUAGGCGGUCGUGACAAGUCACUUGUGAAAUCUUCGGGCUUAACUCGGAACGGUCAAGUGAUACUGUCGGACUAGAGUACAGAAGGGGCAACUGGAAUUCUCGGUGUAGCGGUGAAAUGCGUAGAUAUCGAGAGGAACACCUGCGGCGAAGGCGGGUUGCUGGGCUGAUACUGACGCUGAGGCGCGAAAGCCAGGGGAGCGAACGGG